UCCGCGUGUUGAGUGCUGGUGGUGCACU
Molecule: small RNA, 28 nt
Filed under: Bombyx mori (domestic silkworm)
Lineage: Eukaryota; Metazoa; Arthropoda; Insecta; Lepidoptera; Bombycidae
Description: piRNA piR-bmo-1816286
Source: RNAcentral